GGUGGCUUAGUGGUAGAGCACUUGCCUUGCAUGCAUGAGGUCCCAGGUUCGAUUCCUCAGCACCA
RNAcentral lists this transfer RNA (65 nucleotides) under Dipodomys ordii (Ord's kangaroo rat). It matches the Rfam family "tRNA". Rfam says of the family: Transfer RNA (tRNA) molecules are approximately 80 nucleotides in length. Their secondary structure includes four short double-helical elements and three loops (D, anti-codon, and T loops). Lineage: Eukaryota; Metazoa; Chordata; Mammalia; Rodentia; Heteromyidae. The record is from Rfam by way of RNAcentral.